CACAACCACAACAAAUCAAAUAUAUCACCUUAAAUAAAUCAAUAUAAAAAUAAAUAAUAUGUCUUUCAAAUUCAUUAAAUAAAUCACCUUAUCGAGAUUUUUCCAUUCGAAGAAUAACUUACGAAUAAUAGUACAUCGUCAACAAAAGCUCAUAAGAGCUGGUCCUCCCGAAUACGCCAACAGAAGCUCGAAAGCUGAACAGAAGCUUGUAAGAGCUUAACAAAAGCUCAUAAGAGCUGACCACCCAAUCACGCCAAACAAAAAGUAGAACACAAGAGUUUCUAACAAAUGCUGAACCCCGGUUUGCUUGAGUAAAAUGCCGAUAUCUCCCUCCAAUACUAUCUUCACUCCAAACCUCCGUCAUACACCAAAUCACGAAUGUACUCAAAUCCCACGUUCAAUUCAAACUGAAUAUCCAAUUCAAUAUUAUAAUUCAAAUAAUAAUUAAUUUCCAACAAUAGAAUAUAUGCACAAUACCAAUCAUUAGUUUAUACAAAUGUUAAAUUUUAACCAUACAUGUAAUACCCCCUACCCGUUUUCGUCGUCGAAAUAGGAUACGAGGCAUUACCAGAUUUUACUGAAUUAAUUUUUUUUCUGUUAUUACGAGUUUAAUUACUAUUCAUUUAUCUAAUCAUGUCAUGACGUCCCUUGGAUAGGCCUCCGAAGCCCAAAAUAUACAUCGGGACUAAACUGAUAUUAAAUCGAAGCCAUAAGAAAUUUUUUGCAAAAUCUCAAAGUUAUACUUACUCUAGCCAUACCAACAGCUAAGUUACAAACAUUCAUUUCUAUGUAAUAUUGGUAUUUAGUCUAUACAUGCCAUUCUUUCAAAAUAAGUCAUUUUCAAAUACCAAAAGAUAUGGGUUGAUAGUGUGAUAAAGCUCCGACUAAUCUCCAACCUUCGAGCUCCCGAGCACUACAAAAUAGGGAAAAAGAGAACAGGGUAAGCACAUUGUGCUUAGUAAGUUCAUGCAACAAGAAUUAUACUUACCAUAUUAUACACCUAUCAUUUAAUAACACAAGCACACAUCCAAUUCACAUAAACAUAUACCUAUCACAUACAAACUCAACUUUUGCAUUAGUUAAGUAAACAUCAUAUAAAUUCAUUACAAAGACAAAUGAUUGAUGAGCUCAUCAAUUCCAUAUUUUCCAUUCCCUUGUUAUUUUUCCAUAUUUAUCCUGUUAAAUUUCUCGGAAUUUCGAUGGAUUUUUAGAGGUACACUUUAGUGUACAAAUCCGGGUCCGUCAAUUCAUAUUCAUGUGCGCACAUUUCCAUUUCAGAGAGCACACUCCCGCGAAUCUCAUCCUUACAGUGGGAUUACCAGUCCAGGCUAAAUCCCCUGUAAUAUAAACUCAUAGAGUAUUGUCGGGAUUGCCAGUCCAGGCUAAAUCCCCUGCAACGACAAUUACUCUAAUGAGUUUGGAUCUGAAUUACCAGUCCAGGCUAAAUUCAGACCCUAAUUUGGAUUACCAGUCCGGGCUAAAUCCAUUUUCCACAUAUUUUUCGGGAGGGUUAUAUCAGGAUAGGAUCACCCGUCCAGGCUAGAUCCUUUUUACCGUCAAUUCCUUUUCAGAGAUCCAUCGAAUUUUCCUUUCAUUCAACUGAGAUUUAUUUUCUCUUUUCAUCAAGAAUAUCAAUACUUCAUCAAUUAUCAUACAAUAAACAUCUAAAUCAUAUUCAAAUCAAGAAAAAUAUAUUUCAAGCAUUUAAGAAUAUAAUUCAAGUUACACGAAAUUACUUCGAUACUUGUUCGUAAACAAAAAUCUACUAAUCCCGAACUUUUUCUUUUCCUCGAUCUAGCUUCAUAUUUAAAUUUUCCGGAUCUAAAUAAAUAAAUUUAAUCAUUAAUCUAAUACUUUUCAUGUUCAUAUGUAACAGUCUCUAUAAUUCCAUUAUUAUUUAUAUUGCAUUCAAAGCUGUCUAACUAAGUCAUAGUCACUAAAUUAUUUAUAUCUUGAGCUACGGAACUCCAAAUUAAGAUCUUCUAAUUUUCCCCGAAACUAGACUCACAUAUAUUCUUACCAUAAAAUUUUCAGAAUUUUUUGUUUAUCCAAUAAGUACAGUUUAUUCUUUAAAGUUUCCCCUGUUUCACUGUUUGAUAGUUCCGAUCCCUCUUCACUAAAAAUUAAUUAUCUCAUUAUACAGGAUUUGGAUGAUGUUUCUGUUUGUUUCUUCUGAAAAUAGACUCAUUAAGGAUUCUAACCAUAUAAAUUAUAACUCAUAAUAAUUUUUGUACAAAUUUUAAUGAUUUUACAAAGUAAGAACAGGGGAACCCGAAUUCAUUCUGACCUUGUCUCACAAAAUCUAUUAUAUAUCAUGAUUUACAAUUCCAUUGAUUAAACCGUUUCUUUUAUAAGAAACUAGACUCAAUAAGCUUUAAUUUCAUAUUUUAUUCAUCCUCUAAUUCGAUCUCUACAAUUUUUGGUGAUUUUUCAAAGUUAGACUACUGCUACUGUCCAAAACUGUUUUAGUGCAUAAUGUUAAUUACCAUUCUUUCCCUAAUCUUUCAAUAAAUGAUAAUUUCAUCCCUACUCAAUUAACCUCUCAAUUGAGCUAAUUUUUCUCAACCAACACUUUAUUCUAUCACUUUAAUCUACUUUAUAACCUUUGGAAAUCAGAAUUUUAGCACUAGACUUUAAUUCCAAAUUUUUUCACAAUUAAGUCCUACAAAUCAAUUUCUAUUGAAAUUACCUAAUAAAAUCAUCUCAUAAACAAAUUAAAGCUUCAAUUUCAUCCUAUUUCAUCAUAAAAUUCCAGCACAUAUUCAUAGAAACUUUCAAAUUCAUUCAUAAAAUAAAAAACUAAUGAAUUUAGUAAUAGGACCUAGUUGUAAAAGUCUUAGAAACACAAAAAUUACAAGAAAAAGGCAAUGAUUAACUCACUUGGUGCAAAAAUUAUGAAAAACCAGCUUGAAGAAAACCUUAGGAUGUUUUUUGGCUGAUGAAAAUGCAGAAAAAUAAAGAGAAUUCU
RNAcentral lists this long non-coding RNA (2968 nucleotides) under Gossypium barbadense (sea-island cotton). RNAcentral's name for it is "long non-coding RNA (GBAR_LNC022026)". The record is from RNAcentral. Lineage: Eukaryota; Viridiplantae; Streptophyta; Magnoliopsida; Malvales; Malvaceae.